This 142-nucleotide ribosomal RNA is filed under the name uncultured eukaryote. RNAcentral describes it as "partial 18S ribosomal RNA". It matches the Rfam family "Eukaryotic small subunit ribosomal RNA", at positions 1299 to 1458 of the family's 1831-position model. The record is from RNAcentral.
UGGUGGAGUGAUUUGUCUGGUUAAUUCCGUUAACGAACGAGACCUCGACCUGCUAAAUAGUUCGGCGAAGGCUUCGGCCUUCGUGCGUGACUUCUUAGAGGGACUAUCGGUGUGUAGCCGGUGGAAGUUCGAGGCAAUAACA